RNAcentral lists this long non-coding RNA (3832 nucleotides) under Ananas comosus (pineapple). RNAcentral describes it as "long non-coding RNA (ACOM_LNC010273)". The record is from RNAcentral. Lineage: Eukaryota; Viridiplantae; Streptophyta; Magnoliopsida; Poales; Bromeliaceae.
UAAGGUCUUUACAUUUCUUUUCAUCAUUUCUUUUUACAUCACAUUAGCUCAAAUGAAGCAUUACAUUCUUUGCUUUACAUCACUAGUCAUCAAAUACAAAAGAUGAUCAUAGGUAUACUACUACAAAAUGUAAAACUCGACUUGGUAGUCACUGUCAAAGGCGCGAUACCUUUACCGCAGUCGCUCGCCAGCUCGCUCGGUCCCGGCUCUGUGGAAUAGUGGGGUGAGAACUACAACAAAGUUCCCAGUGGGUUCGGCCCCAAUCUCACCGACUUUUCCACUAGAACUAACUCAGGCAUAAUAGAAAGGAUAAGCAAAAUAGUAGCCAAACUAUAAUGAUGAUGCUAAUAUGCCUGAACAAUAAAGCAGGAAGUAUGCUCAAUGUAAAUCAUGCAAGUAUGCAAGUUCUUUGUUCUUUACUCUUUGUUCUUUAACCUUUGUUCUUUGUUCUUUAAUCUCAAGGCUAACCCGGGGGUUUCGCGACAUUAACUUGCCCACAUUAAGUCCACCAUCGCAGGCCCUCAGCUGCCUACCACUAAGACUGUCCUUGGGUUUACUCCAACCCGUGAUGCAAAAACUCCGGAGCGCAUCGCUUGAGGAGGAGUGACCGCCCUUGAGCACGGAACUCAUAGCAAGUAUGAUCGAUCCUUAACUCUAAGGAUAUAUAGUUCAAUCAUUGUCUUUACACUAAUUCUAGUGUUCUUUACAUCACUUUAUUUUGCUAACUCUAGCAAUCAUUGUUCUUUAACUUUACUCGUUCUUUAUGUCACUUUCAUUUUCUUUCCCUGUCUCUAAUCAUUAUCAUUGUUCUUUGCGUCACAUUUCUUUUUGAUGCCACACACACUAACUCUAGUGUCACUUUUCUUUACAUUAUCAAAUGCCACUCGAUCUAUGUUUUAUUGUGUGACUUUGUUCUUUCAUCUCAUUGGGUGCUCACAUUAUAUCUCAUGCAUACAUAUAGGGUUAAAUAGGCUCUCAAACAUUUCAAAUAGCAUGUGUACUCACAUCAUGCAACAUUCACAUGUAUAUCAUCACAUUUACCCUAUAAUGCAUGCAACAAUAUAAAUAUAUGCUCAAUUGAAUGACACAUUAGGCAUAGAAGGAAUUCCAACAAGUUUGGAUAGCACCACCCAUCUCGCAGGCGUACUAGGAUGCUACAAUGAUUUUCUUGGGAUUUUUAGCCGCUUAGUUCGUCACCCGCGGCAAAACGAAGCCCCAUUAGGCCAUUUUGCUCAUAUCUUUACAUUGGCUUUUCGUAACGUCAAUCCGAGUGCACCAACGCGUCGGAAAUACCCCCAAUUAGGUUUCUAGAGAGUCAAUUUCGUUUUGAAACCCUCUUGAUCAAAAGCCCCAAAUUUGGGUGCCCUAGCUCAUAGCGUAUCAAAACCUAGGGUUUGAUCUCUUAGAGAAGCAAAAGUAACCUUCAAAUCAUCUAAAGGUUCUAUUUGAACCAUCCUUAACUCAUUCAAAACCCAUUUUAGGGUUUCACCAUGGGAAGGGUAGAAGCUUUCCUUUAUGCUCACCACCAAUACCAAAAUCCAUGGUAUUGAUCUCUAAAAGAAGCAAAAGAAAACUUCAAAUACUCAAUAGAUUCUAUUAAAACCAUUUCUAGAUCCAUCCAAACCCUAGUUGAGCUUUACCACUAUUGGGGUUCAAAGCUUACCUUGUAAGCUUUCCUUUUCCAAGCUAGGGAAGGAGAGGAGAGGUAUUCUUCUCCUCUUUGCCUUCUCUUCACCUUCUUCCUCUUCUUUUCCUUUCCUUUCUUUCUCUUCUUCUUCUCCUUUUUGUCUUCUAGAGAGAGAAAGAGAGAUGAGAGGGAGUGUGUGAGGGAGAGAAUGAGAGGAAAAAGCCCUCAAAGCCCUCCACUUAACCAUUAGGUUGCACAAAAGCAAAUAGGCCCCUCAACUUUCAUUUUAUUGAACUGCUCAAACUGGGCAAAUUUUGGGUUCGGGGACCGGUCUCCCCGACUUGGGACCGGUCCCAGAGAGCUGCUCCCUGCAGCUGCGCAGGGCUCCCCGCGAUGCAACCGGUCUCUCCCAGGGGGACCGGUCUCUCGGUGUCACGCCCCAAUCCACGCCAAUUCGGUCUGGUUUGGGUCACGUCAACAGACGCCGAACGGACAGAGCCUCCCCUGUCACGCCCCGAGACCGAUGCCAAUUUGGCCCGACCCGAGCACGUCAAACAGACGCCGAACGGACAGAGUUUCCCCUAUCCGCCCAAGGCUCAUCACAUGUACAAUUUCAAUAAGAAGUGCACUAGCGGAAACAUACACAAACGGCUUACACGAGGGUAAGCAAUAGCCAUCAGUGAAAGAAAGGAAAACUAAACAUACACAAGUAACAUGAUUCAUUUUAGAUCAUAUACAUUGCAUUCAUGUCUUACGCUUUGGAUUCCUUUUCAUUUCAUUACAUUACUUCAUCAUUUCUUUCUUACAUCACAUUUACCUCAAAAUAAGCUUACAUUCUUUUCUUUACUUUAUACAUUAACAUCUUAAAUCAUCAAAUACAAAAGAUGAUAAAAGGGAUAAACUGCUAACAAAAUAUAACCCAAUUCAGGUGGCCUCUGACUAAGGCGCGAUACUUUUACCUCGGUCGCUCGCCGGCUCGCUCGGUCCCGGCUCUGUGAAAAUAGUGGGGUGAGAACUACAACAAAGUUCCCAGUGGGUUCGGCCUCAACAUCACCGACUUUCCCACUAGGACUAACUCAGGCAUAAUAAAAAGGAUAAGCUGAAAUAUGGUAACCAAUCUAUAACAUGAUGCUAAUAUGCAUGAACAAAAGCAAGGAAUAUGCUCAACAUUAAUAGAUGCAGAUUAUGCAUGUUCUUUAGUUCUUUUCACUUUACUCUUUGUUCUUUAUUCUUUGUUCUUUGCUCUUUAAUCAUUAAGGCUAACCCGGAGGUUUCGCCACAUUAACUUGCCUCACGUUAAGUCCAUCAUCGCAGGUACUCACCAGCUAGGACCGUCCUUACGGGUCUACUCCAACCCGGAUGCAUAACUCCGGAGCGCAUCGCCCGAGGGGGAGCGACCGCCCUCGAGCACGGAACUCAACAGCAAGUAUGAUCAUAUCCUUAACUCAAAGGAUUAUAGUUCAAUCUUGACUUUACACUAGCUCUAGUGUUCUUUACAUCACUUUAUGUUGCAAACUCAUGCAAUAACAUUCUUUACAUUCUCAUUACUCUUGCUAACUCUAGCAAUCAUUGUUCUUUGCAUUUCUUUUACUUUUGCUAACUCUAGCAAUCACAUUCUUUACUUUUCUUUUACUUUUGCCAUCUUUAGCGUUCUUGUUCUUUACAUUUCUCGUUCUUAUUGCCCCACUUUACUUUAACUUUACACAUUGUCAUUUUCAUCAUUCUUUACAUCACAUUGGUUCUUUGCAUCACACUAACUCUAGUGUCUCUUUACUUUACAUUUUCAAAUGCCACUCGAUCUAUGUCAUUGUGCCACUCUGUUCUUUUGCUCACUUUGGGUGCUCACAUUUUCUCUCAUGCAUACAUCUAGGGUUUUGACAUUAUUAGGUUCUCAACCAUCUCAUUAUGCAAGUUGUGCUCACAAUCAUGCAAUCAUCACAUUUCAUCAUUACUUUACCCUAAAAUGCAUGCAACAAUAUAUAGAACAUAUGCUCAAAGAAUGACACAUUAGGCAUAGAGAGAAGUUCAAUGAGUUUGAGAAGCACCACCCACCUCGUAGGCUUUCAAAGGUGCUCCGAUGAUUUUCUUGGGAUUUUUAGAUGCUGCGUUCUUUACCUGCGGCAAAACGAACCCUUAUUAGGCCAUUUUGCCCAUAACUUUUCAUCGGCUUUUCAUAACGUUAAUCCGAGCGCACCAACGCGUCGG